RNAcentral lists this transfer RNA (69 nucleotides) under Euphyllodromia sp. Z257. Its description in RNAcentral is "tRNA-Tyr". The record is from RNAcentral. Lineage: Eukaryota; Metazoa; Arthropoda; Insecta; Blattodea; Pseudophyllodromiidae.
AGUAGAAUGACUGAGAUUAAUAGGUAAUAAACUGUAAAUUUAUGUAGGGAUAAUUUUAUCCUUCUACUA